Molecule: long non-coding RNA, 1627 nt
Organism: Pseudophryne corroboree (corroboree frog)
Lineage: Eukaryota; Metazoa; Chordata; Amphibia; Anura; Myobatrachidae
Exons: 2
Source: RefSeq, a predicted model, not a curated record
CUCUGCGUACAUGAUGGCAGCUGAAUGCAAAUACACAUCCAGUUACCUCCCCAAACGCUCCCUUCUUCAAUCACUCUGCGAUUUAGGCCUCACUGCGGGCGCCAAGGCAUCUUGGCGCCUGCGCAGUGUGAUCGCGGCACAUGUGCCUCUGCUGAUAAUCACUCUGUUUGUGUGAACAUCGGCAACUGCGUGCAAACAUGGGCCCUUUGUGUACUGCGUUGGCUUUUGCGGGGGAACAAGUGUGAUGCUGAGUUACACAAUUUGCUUGUGGUGCGCAUCCCCUGCAGACAGACCACACUCAUAGGGAAUAGUUGUGAUCAUUCUCAGCAUUAACCACAUGAAGUCUGCACUGGAUAAUGAUGACACACCUGUAACAGUGGGUGGAGCUUAUUAACAGCUCCUUAAUGAGCUCAUUAAAGUUAAUGAUCCCACCUUAUAAAUCCUGAAUGUCUCUCAGCCCAGCCAUUACACCCUGUCCUGAAUGAGGUGAGUGUAGCAGGUAGUAUGUGCCCUGAUGUGGGGGAUCAGUAAGCUGUAAUAUGCUGCACUGUGCCCUAUAGUAAGAAGGAGACUCUGUGGGGACUGUAGAUGAAUCUCCCGGUGGAAGUUUGCACGCAGACAGCAGAUGUCUCUCUGUAGGUAUUGCUCAGUCUCUGUUACUGCACUACGGGACCAGAUGCAUGCCCAGCCCGCUGUCCAGAUAUUAUCCUGGCUACUCUGCUCAGUAGUCAUUGACCAGAGCAUGCUGGGAUCUGUAGUUCCAUGUGCCCCAGAGCCGCAUGUGACUUUAGCCUCAGGCCUUGCUUUUCCAGAUCCUCAGAUUGCAGUCGGACUUCAGCUGUAACACAUGAAUGUAUUCUGUAGACUGACGCAGCCACAGCCGUGUUCUUAUGUUAUACUGUAUCUAUCACAUAGGAUGCUGCCAUGGUCCUGUGAAAUCCUGUCCUGUUACUGACGUGGAUGUCCCCAUGUCCGCUACCUAGGUGCAUCACAGUAACUGUCAUGGCAGCUCCCAGUCAGGGACGGCUGAGUCUGUAAGGGUGGGGUUCUGUAAAAUCUAUUACAUAGAACAACUGUUCACUAUUAUAAGUGUGCCCUGAUCUGAGGAGCGUGGUAUAACCGAGGCCCUUCUGCUCAGUGUCCGUUACAUAUUAUUUGUGGGUGUGACUGUUCCCCAGAUUAUUACUGAAUGGAAAUCUCGGACUGGAUGUUGGAGGCAGCAGAAGACUCGGACAAUGAGGUCUCUGUAGAUAAGAGCAGACACUAUCGGCUGGGCCCAGAUAAUCUCAAUGACACCUUAGAAUACGACCAAACCACCUGUGAUCCUGUUACGCCAGUUUAUAAAGAAGAAAAUGGCACCCUACCGGAGUCUGACUCCAAUACCCGAUCCUAUGAACCGAACUGAUAAUUACAUGCAGAUUUCUAGCGAGUACUGGCCUUUCCUCAGCGUUGUCACUCACUCCUCAGGUGAGCAGGCGGAUUAUACACCAGAUGCUGCUGUGCGUGUGAUUGGUGCGCUACCACUGUACUGGGGUAAUCGCUGGUAGUAACAGAGUAACUGUUUCCCUGUAUCGUACACAUUUAUUCUGGUCGUAGAGCCUGGAUAAGAAUAAAUCCGUCGCUGUAA